GACGAACGCUGGCGGUGUGCUUAACACAUGCAAGUCGAACGGUAAGGCCCUUUCGGGGGUACACGAGUGGCGAACGGGUGAGUAACACGUGAGUAACCUGCCCUCAUCUCUGGGAUAACAGUCGGAAACGGUUGCUAAUACUGGAUAUGAGCUUGCAAGGCAUCUUGUGGGUUGGAAAGAUUUUUUUGGUUGGGGAUGGACUCGCGGCCUAUCAGCUUGUUGGUGAGGUAGUGGCUCACCAAGGCUUCGACGGGUAGCCGGCCUGAGAGGGCGACCGGCCACAUUGGGACUGAGAUACGGCCCAAACUCCUACGGGAGGCAGCAGGGGGGAAGAUUGCACAAUGGACGGAAGUCUGAUGCAGCAACGCCGCGUGCGGGAGGACGGCCUUCGGGUUGUAAACCGCUUUCAAUUGUGACGAAGCUUUUUGUGACGGUAGCAGUAGAAGAAGCACCGGCUAACUACGUG
Molecule: ribosomal RNA, 466 nt
Filed under: uncultured bacterium
Lineage: Bacteria
Description: partial 16S ribosomal RNA
Rfam family: Bacterial small subunit ribosomal RNA
Source: RNAcentral